GCUAGAACGCAUAGCAAGAGGUAUUGUAACAGGUCUCAGCUCUUCUUGUGUUUCUGUACUGUUCAAGCAUAGUGCCUUGAUCUGUGCCUCCUGCUGGCGUUUGCUAUCAGCUCAUCAACAUGGCUCAGCUGAGUGUCCUUAAUUUGAAGACCAAAACUUGCUGGGCUUCAAGCUGCUUCUUGGUGGAUCCUUUGGGAGAGCUUUCCAACUGCUGUUUGUCAGUCCUGCUCUUGUACUGCACUAGCAGAAUUCUUGUGCAAAUCCAUAUACCAUUACCAAAAAGCAAAUUGAAAGAUGAACAUAACAUGGGUAUAAGGUCAGCAGCCUGAAUCAAACCCACUUCAACCAGUGCAGUCCAGAAUCGUGGGUAUUGUUCAUGUACGUAUACAAAACCAGAAAUAAAACAGCCUGCUAAACUUGGAAGUAUGUGUUU
This 433-nucleotide long non-coding RNA is filed under the name Phasianus colchicus (ring-necked pheasant). RNAcentral describes it as "lncRNA (ENSPCLG00000016919.1)". Lineage: Eukaryota; Metazoa; Chordata; Aves; Galliformes; Phasianidae. The record is from RNAcentral.